Molecule: ribosomal RNA, 460 nt
Filed under: uncultured bacterium
Lineage: Bacteria
Description: partial 16S ribosomal RNA
Rfam family: Bacterial small subunit ribosomal RNA
Source: RNAcentral
CCUACGGGAGGCAGCAGUGAGGAAUAUUGGUCAAUGGACGAGAGUCUGAACCAGCCAAGUAGCGUGAAGGAUGACUGCCCUCUGGGUUGUAAACUUCUUUUAUAUGGGAAUAAAACAGGGUAUGCAUACCCUCUUGUAUGUACCAUAUGACUAAGGAUCGGCUAACUUCGUGCGAGCAGCCGCGGUAAUACGGAGGAUCCGAGCGUUAUCCGGAUUUAUUGGGUUUAAAGGGAGCGUAGGUGGAUUGUUAAGUCAGUUGUGAAAGUCUGCGGCUCAACCGUAGAAUUGCAGUUGAAACUGGCAGUCUUGAGUACAGUAGAGGUAGGCGGAAUUCGUGGUGUAGCGGUGAAAUGCGUAGAUAUCACGAAGAACUCCGAUUGCGAAGGCAGCUCACUGGACUGCAACUGACACUGAUGCUCGUAAGUGUGGGUAGCAAACAGGAUUAGAUACCCGAGUAGUC